Molecule: ribosomal RNA, 501 nt
Filed under: uncultured bacterium
Lineage: Bacteria
Description: bacterial SSU rRNA
Rfam family: Bacterial small subunit ribosomal RNA
Source: RNAcentral
AUUGAACGCUGGCGGCGUGCUUAACACAUGCAAGUCGAUCGGUAACAGGUGUAGCAAUACAUGCUGACGAGAGGCGGACGGGUGAGUAAUGCUUGGGAAUCUGCCUAUUAGUGGGGGACAACCCGGGGAAACUCGGGCUAAUACCGCAUACGCUCUACGGAGGAAAGCCGGGGACCGCAAGGCCUGGCGCUAAUAGAUGAGCCCAAGUCGGAUUAGCUAGUUGGUAGGGAACGGCCUACCAAGGCGACAAUCCGUAGCUGGUCUGAGAGGACGACCAGCCACACCGGAACUGAGACACGGUCCGGACUCCUACGGGAGGGCAGCAGUGGGGAAUAUUGGACAAUGGGGGCAACCCUGAUUCCAGCGACGCCGCGUGGGUGAAGAAGGCCUGCGGGUUGUAAAGCCCUUUCGGUGGGGAAGAAAAGUCUCGACCUAAUACGUCGGGACCUUGACGUAACCCACUAAAGAAGCACCGGCUAACUCUGUGCCAGCCGCCGCCGU